This is a long non-coding RNA of Oncorhynchus tshawytscha (Chinook salmon), 587 nucleotides long. The record is from Ensembl. Lineage: Eukaryota; Metazoa; Chordata; Actinopteri; Salmoniformes; Salmonidae.
CCAGGAUGGAGAACAGGGGUCAGGAUGGAGAACAGGGGUCAGGAUGGAGAACAGGGGUCAGGAUGGAGAACAGGGGUCAGGAUGGAGAACAGGGGUCAGGAUGGAGAACAGGGGUCAGGAUGGAGAACAGGGGUCAGGAUGGAGAACAGGUGUCAUGGUGGAGAACAGGGGUCAGGAUGGAGAACAGGGGUCAGGAUGGAGAACAGGGGUCAGGAUGGAGAACAGGUGUCAGGAUGGAGAACAGGGGUCAUGGUGGAGAACAGGGGUCAGGAUGGAGAACAGGGGUCAUGGUGGAGAACAGGGGUCAGGAUGGAGAACAGGGGUCAUGGUGGAGAACAGGGGUCAGGAUGGAGAACAGGGGUCAGGAUGGAGAACAGGGGUCAUGGUGGAGAACAGGUGUCAGGAUGGAGAACAGGGGUCAUGGUGGAGAACAGGGGUCAGGAUGGAGAACAGGGGUCAGGAUGGAGAACAGGGGUCAGGAUGGAGAACAGGGGUCAUGGUGGAGAACAGGGGUCAGGAUGGAGAACAGGGGUCAGGAUGGAGAACAGGGGUCAGGAUGGAGAACAGGGGUCAGGAUGGAGAACAGG